This 407-nucleotide ribosomal RNA is filed under the name uncultured bacterium. RNAcentral's name for it is "partial 16S ribosomal RNA". It matches the Rfam family "Bacterial small subunit ribosomal RNA", at positions 355 to 753 of the family's 1533-position model. The record is from RNAcentral.
UGGGGAAUUUUGGACAAUGGGCGCAAGCCUGAUCCAGCCAUGCCGCGUGCGGGAAGAAAGGCCUUCGGGUUGUAAACCGCUUUGUCAGGGAAGAAAUCUUCUGAGUUAAUACCUCGGGAGGAUGACGGUACCUGAAGAAUAAGCACCGGCUAACUACGUGCCAGCAGCCGCGGUAAUACGUGGGUGCAAGCGUUAAUCGGAAUUACUGGGCGUAAAGCGUGCGCAGGCGGUUUUGUAAGACAGAGGUGAAAUCCCCGGGCUCAACCUGGGGAACUGCCUUUGUGACUGCAAGGCUUGAGUGCGGCAGAGGGGGAUGGAAUUCCGCGUGUAGCAGUGAAAUGCGUAGAUAUGCGGAGGAACACCGAUGGCGAAGGCCAAUCCCCUGGGCCUGCACUGACGCUCAUGCA